AAACGUUACACCGCUGCCAUUUCACAGUCUCUUAUCCGUCCCUCCUCAUUAUGUCCAAUGCGAACCGAAUGCCAACCCUGGUCCCGGAGAGCCACGCAGUUUUUGUUCUCGCCUGAAAAUUAGCCAAGAACCCCGGAGCCCAGGUGAUGGGAGUUAACUGUGUAAAUGGCUGCUUUAAUUGAUCCAGCAGACUCUGAUGCUUUCCAGGAUCAGGGAUGUUCACCCCUAAUCUACUAGUAUAGAGUGGCGCUGUAGUCUAAUGGUUAGAGAACUAAAGGUUGUCGGUUCAAUUCCAUGGUGGCAUACUGCUGUUCUAUUUUUGAACAAGGGCGCCAGCACUGAUGUUCUCCGCUUUUGUGAGCCGCUCUGGAUAAAGGGCACCUGCCAAGCAACAGCCAUCCAACGGCGUGAGAAACACAAAAGCCACUGAUGACGAUGAUGAUGAUGAUGAUGAUGGUGAUGCCUGCGGAGGAGGGGCCGUUGCUUGACCCAGCAGAUGUGGGACACGCAGCCCAAGAGAAGGGGGGGGGCGUCCGGGCAGCGGCUGCACCCCUGUCAAAUAUCUGUGUGGGCCUCUCUCUGGAGCCUGAGCCUGAGCCUGGAGUUUUUAUAUCAUCCACCUGCCGUGCACACGCGGCCAGCACAAAGGCUUUCUAUAAAACACCCAAAAGGCAGCGAGAGCUCCCCUAAUACAUUCCUGUCUUAUUACGGCUAUCCUGCUCAUUCUUUCGUUCCCACUUCGCACGGUGGACCACCACUGCUGACAGACAAACUUCUUCAAUGUCCGCCCCCUCCCACUCUAAAAAUGAAGCCUGUUAACGUGGGGGGG
Anguilla rostrata (American eel) is the source of this 829-nucleotide long non-coding RNA. RefSeq lists it as uncharacterized. Lineage: Eukaryota; Metazoa; Chordata; Actinopteri; Anguilliformes; Anguillidae. The record is from RefSeq and is a predicted model, not a curated record. The transcript has 3 exons.